UAAUGAUGUCUAAUAGGGCAUUUAUCAUUUUAUAUUGGAAUUAUUUAUAUGACUGCAUUCCUCAAAAAACCAGUUACUGAGAGCUUAAACUUUGUAUCUGACUCAAGGCUUGGAACACAGGAGAUAGUAAAUGUCGAGUUUUUCUCUGCCCUUUAAGGAUGUGGUCAUCCUUAGGUUUUGAUCUGCCUUUGCUGUGAGAUGACUAGCACCUUUUAUACUUAUCCAGAGACUUGGAGGAGGCCUUGGAGAUGGGGGUGGACUGGUCCUUAAGAGAAGGGUAUGCCUGGGCUGAAGACAAGGAGCACUGCGAGGAGUACGGAAGGAUGCUGCAGGCUGACCCCAAUAAAGUUUCUGCAAGGGCGAAGAAAAGAGGCCUUCCUCAGUUGGGGACCCUGGGAGCAGGCAACCAUUAUGCAGAAAUCCAGGUUGUGGAUGAGAUUUUCAAUGAGUAUGCUGCUAAAAAAAUGGGCAUCGACCAUAAGGGACAGGUGUGUGUGAUGAUCCACAGUGGAAGCAGAGGCUUGGGCCACCAAGUA
This 536-nucleotide long non-coding RNA is filed under the name Homo sapiens (human). Its description in RNAcentral is "non-protein coding lnc-BPIFC-1:1". Lineage: Eukaryota; Metazoa; Chordata; Mammalia; Primates; Hominidae. The record is from RNAcentral.